Molecule: ribosomal RNA, 471 nt
Filed under: uncultured bacterium
Lineage: Bacteria
Description: bacterial SSU rRNA
Rfam family: Bacterial small subunit ribosomal RNA
Source: RNAcentral
GAUAAACGCUGGCGGCGCACAUAAGACAUGCAAGUCGAACGGACUUUAACCAUUAGUUUACUAUUGGAGCGGUUAGUGGCGGACUGGUGAGUAACACGUAAGCAACCUGCCUAUCAGAGGGGAACAACAGUUAGAAAUGACUGCUAAUACCGCAUAUGCCUAAGUACCACAUGGUACAAUAGGGAAAGGAGCAAUCCGCUGAUAGAUGGGCUUGCGUCUGAUUAGAUAGUUGGUGGGGUAACGGCCUACCAAGUCGACGAUCAGUAGCCGGACUGAGAGGUUGAACGGCCACAUUGGAACUGAGAAACGGUCCAGACUCCUACGGGAGGCAGCAGUGGGGAAUAUUGGGCAAUGGGCGAAAGCCUGACCCAGCGACGCCGCGUGAGGGAAGACGGUCUUCGGAUUGUAAACCUCUUUUAUUAGGGACGAAUUAUGACGGUACCUAAUGAAUAAGCCACGGCUAACUACGUG